GGACGUGUCAUAGCUUAGUGGCAGAGCACCUGCUUUGCGUGCAGAUGGUCCCAGGGUUCAAAUCCCGGCACCUCCA
This is a non-coding RNA of Podarcis lilfordi (Lilford's wall lizard), 76 nucleotides long. NCBI's taxonomy places the organism in Eukaryota, Metazoa, Chordata, Lepidosauria, Squamata, Lacertidae. The record is from the annotation of a GenBank genome assembly.